AGAGACAGCAGUAGCCGCGGUAAAACGAAGGGGGCUAGCGUUACACGGAAUCACUGGGCGUAAAGGGUGCGUAGGCGGGUCUUUAAGUCAGGGGUGAAAUCCUGGAGCUCAACUCCAGAACUGCCUUUGAUACUGAAGAUCUUGAGUUCGGGAGAGGUGAGUGGAACUGCGAGUGUAGAGGUGAAAUUCGUAGGUAUUCGCAAGAACACCAGUGGCGAAGGCGGCUCACUGGCCCGAUACUGACGCUGAGGCACGAAAGCGUGGGGAGCAAACAGGAUUAGAUACCCCAGUAGUCCCUGUCUCUUAUAC
RNAcentral lists this ribosomal RNA (309 nucleotides) under uncultured bacterium. RNAcentral describes it as "partial 16S ribosomal RNA". It matches the Rfam family "Bacterial small subunit ribosomal RNA", at positions 504 to 807 of the family's 1533-position model. The record is from RNAcentral.